Molecule: long non-coding RNA, 4103 nt
Organism: Heterocephalus glaber (naked mole-rat)
Lineage: Eukaryota; Metazoa; Chordata; Mammalia; Rodentia; Bathyergidae
Source: Ensembl
GUGCAGCAGCGGGGCGCGCGGGCGAAGCGGGACGGCGGGCCGCCGCCCCCGGGGCCCGGGCCGACCGAGGAGGGGGCGCGCGAGCCCGGCUGGUGCAAGACCCCGAGCGGCCACAUCAAGAGGCCAAUGAACGCGUUCAUGGUGUGGUCGCAGCAUGAGCGGCGGAAGAUCAUGGACCAGUGGCCCGACAUGCACAACGCCGAGAUCUCCAAGCGCCUGGGCCGCCGCUGGCAGCUGCUGCAGGAUUCAGAGAAGAAGAUCCCGUUCGUGAGGGAGGCGGAGCGGCUGCGCCUCAAGCACAUGGCGGAUUACCCGGACUACAAGUACCGGCCGCGCAAAAAGAGCAAGGGGACGCCCGCCAAGGCGCGGCCCCGCCCCCCGGCGGUGGUAGCAGCCGGCUCAAACCAGGCCGCAACUGCCGAGCCGCGGGGCCCGCCGGGCGGCGGGAGGGCCCUUGGGGGGCAGUGCGGCGCCGCCCGAGGACGACGAUGAGGACGACGACGAGGAGCUACUAGAGGUGCGCCUAGUCGAGACCCCAGGGCGGGAGCUGUGGCGGAUGGUCCCGGCGGGGCGGGCCGCCCGGGGACCGGCGGAGCGCGCCCAAGGGCCGUCGGUUGAGGGGCGGCCGCCCCCGCCGCCUCCCCGACCCCAUCGGAGGACGAGGAGCUGGAGGAGGAGGAGGCGGCAGCGGUGGAGGAAGGCGAGGAGACGGUGGCGUCGGGGGAGGAGCCCCUGGGCUUUCUGUCCAGGCUGCCCCCCGUCCCCACUGGCCUGGACUGCACCGCCCUGGACCGCGACCCGGACCUGCCACCUGCCUCGGGCACGUCACACUUCGAGUUCCCGGACUACUGCACCCCCGAGGUCACCGAGAUGAUCGCAGGGGACUGGCGCCCGUCUAGCAUCGCCGACCUGGUUUUCACCUACUGAGCCCUCCGUCAGCGGGGCGCGCAUGCCCCCAAACCAGCUGUUUACAUACAGGAAUCAGGUAUUGGGGCCCCUCGGAGGCCGAGGCUGGCACCCCAUCUCCCGCGCAGCCUCUCCCCUCCUAGACGUGCCCAUCCCCCCUCGGAUCCAGACAUACCCCUCCUCCGCGGACACACCCCAAGGCAACCCAACCCCCAGCCUUUCCCUGACAGCCAAGCUCCCUCCUCAUCUUGUCCCCUCCCUCACAGCCACCAGCAGCCAGACCCCCUCCGCUACACCUCCUGUCCCCAUUACCGACCUGCACCCCUCCCCCUACUUUGCACACGCCCCUCCUCGUGGCCGGAGGACACGCCCCCUCCCCUUGCUCGAGAAACUCCGCCCUCGCCUAACCUGUCUAGUUUGAUAGGGGGCGACACAGCACCACGCGCUCUUCGUAGGCCCCGCCCCCCCCGGGGGUGGGGCGCGCUCCUUCAACCCUAGAGCGCUUGGGCCCAGCCCCCUCCUUGCGCAUGCUUAAUACUACUUGGGAGGAGGGGGCUGGUCCCUGGACCGCCUCCAGUCUCUGUGGUCUGUACGGAGAAGGACGGGUCGAGCAGGGAGUGAUCCUGAGAAACCCUUUGGUCCCGGAGCCCUUGACUUCCUCUCUACCUGACGGGGCGUCACUACCUUAAUGGGAGGAGCACUUAGUAGGGAGAGAAAGAAAUUAGAUCGUUCAGAAGGGGUGGCUGGGAUUUGAGACUCCAAGUUCCAUAGACCCUCUUCCCUGAUGGGGUCGCCCAUGCCCACCACCUUCCCAACUGCGUGACUGCCAUUAAUGCUUAUCUUGGUCCCCAGGAACGUCCCUUCCUUUCCCCAACUGGAAAUUGGGAGGGAAAAUCUUUCUCUGGAAAUCCAUCGAAGAGAAAAGGAUUGACCAAGAAAAUUUAGAAAUGAGAUACCUACAGUGUUUGGGAACAGGAUUCCUGCUGCUCCCACCCCCCUUCCCCUGGGGAAGCGCCCUAUUCAACUCAGGGCACCCUCCCAGCCUGGGCUCCUCCCUAAACCCACUGUCCCCUUCUUGUCACCCAAAUCCAUCCUUAAUAACUAUAGCUGCAGUAUCAGUGGGAGAAACUGAGCCACGUUGGUGCUAGGGGGUUGGAACUGAGACAGGAUAGCAGAUGGGUGGCAGGAAAGAGCCCACUUGUAAACAGCGCCUUGAGAGUGACCACCUACCGGUCAGGGGAGACAUUCUGGCCUGGAGGAGGAUGCAUUUGUGCCUCGGUUUUUCCACUUGAGAAAUGGAUAUGGCGCUGCUGUUGUAAGGAAGAUGUGUCCAGUUCAGGGUGCCUGAAACCCUGUCCGCCUGCUGUUACCCUCUCAGCCCAGCUCCCCACUGAACCCCCGCCCCUCCGGCCUCCCCCACAUCCCCUCUACCCUCACUACCUGUAUCGCCGGCGUGUGUUCACCUCUGGGUGGCUCACACACUCUCAUUCACAUACACAAAUCUCAGGAACAAACGGUCCCAGAGUCCUCCAGGACCCCUGCCCAGGGUCUCUACAGGUCUCUGCCCCCACGCGUUCCCUUCGCUGACAAAGCCACCAGCUGCCUCCUUUAAGCUUGGUGCUCCGGCUCUGGGCCUUUCUUGUGCGCUCUCUCUCUCUCUCUCUCUCUCUCUCUCUCUCUCUCUCUCUUUUUUAAGAAAACGAAAAAAGACAAUGAAAAAACUGAGAAAAUGUCAUGUGAGUGAAGAGAUGUCACUGUCUGUGGUCUUGGAGAACUAGUCUAGUAGCUGAGGGGAAGGGUCCCUCCAUCUGGGGCACUGGCACAUGCAGCAGGACUUCCGCCAGUCUGAUGCCAGGACUGAAUAAAGUGUAUUUGCCCCGACCUUGCCCUGUGGUUCUGCAUGUCUGUGCUUUUCCUCAACCCUCCCCCCAACAGAUUGCCAGAUUCAAGUCCAUAGGACCUAGGCUAUGCAGGAAGAGCUGGCUAUCUGGGGACAAGGUACCUGGCCUGUGUGGACCUCUGUGUCCUGUCUCAGGACUCCCUGUCCUCACCGAGGGUAGCACACUCCUCCCCUGCAGAGGCCAGGCAGGUAAUAUGAAUGAGUGAACACUGGUGUGGUAACCCAGUUCAAGGGUGGCAACUGGGUACCUGUUGCCAGUUGUACCUGUGCCAGUUGUGUAGGGAUUUGGUCUGGGGUAGCCAAAUGGCCAGAUUUUUCAAGAGAAGCUGGAGACAUUGCUGCUUCUGAGUCAUCAUAAUUUCAAAAUGAAAGCUGACUCAAAUAUUUUUAAACCUCUGAGCCAAAUGAAGCAGGUAUUUGGGCAGGUUAGUUUGACCUUGCCCUAAAUGAGAAUUAAAAAGCAGGUUAGGACCACACUGCCCAAAGCCCAGCUCCUGCCCAAGCACCUGUGUGACCUUAAGCAGAUUAAGUCAUCCCAGCUCUUUUUUCUGAAUGUGUCACAUGAGGAUAAGGAGUAAACCUGCUUCCUGGGCUGAUGUGACAUGGUGCUCCUUAGAUUUCCUUCCUCCACUGUCAGUGGAGGAAGCUGAGAGUUGGGGAAGCUGAAGCCUGGGAUAUUGGUUCCAUCUGCUGGGGAAGUACUGUUCAGGCCCUGCCCCACGUCCCCGGGCCAGCCUACAGGUAGGGCACACACCACCCUGCAGUGUAGACUCACUGCAUGACCAGAAAGGAACAGAAGCCACGAUUCCUCUUUAUGAGGUCAACUCCUGUGUCAUCCUCCCCACGAGGCUGGCUGGUGUGUCUUGGAAACUGACCAGGGCUUUCCCUCUGUUUCCGUGAUAUCCCUGCCCCUAACUUGUUCACCAGAUCCAGUGAAUUCCUCUACUCAGAUAAAGCCUCUUCUCCCCACUCCAAGAGCAGAGGCUAAGUGCUUCCUUUCAGCCACUGGUUGGAAGCAAGCUGGGAAACAAUCCUAUAAGAGGUAGUGUUGAGAAGGCGAGGAAGGUGGUGCCAUAUGCUGCACAGAAGGCCCUCCUAGCAAGGGCUUAGGGUCAUGGAUGGUCAGCUCCUGGGUUGGAGAGAACACCUCACUGAGGUCACACCUGGCCCACCAGCCUGCCCUGGUGGCUGAGCCAGGCAUGGGGUGCACACCUGGCCAUUUGUACAGUUGGCAGCCAGGGCUUUGUCAGGCCUGCAGCACAGUUUGACCUCUUCCUGUGCCCAGUCUUCUUUUCAC